GGUGAUGAAGCUCAGGGGUAGAGCACUUGUCUAGCAGGUGUGAGGUCCUGGGUUCAAUCCCCAACAUCACAA
This 72-nucleotide transfer RNA is filed under the name Marmota monax (woodchuck). It matches the Rfam family "tRNA". From Rfam's summary of the family: Transfer RNA (tRNA) molecules are approximately 80 nucleotides in length. RNAcentral also lists the same sequence under 1 other name. The record is from Rfam by way of RNAcentral. Lineage: Eukaryota; Metazoa; Chordata; Mammalia; Rodentia; Sciuridae.